RNAcentral lists this ribosomal RNA (266 nucleotides) under uncultured Staphylococcus sp. RNAcentral describes it as "partial 16S ribosomal RNA". It matches the Rfam family "Bacterial small subunit ribosomal RNA", at positions 96 to 354 of the family's 1533-position model. The record is from RNAcentral. Lineage: Bacteria; Bacillati; Bacillota; Bacilli; Caryophanales; Staphylococcaceae.
CGGCGGACGGGUGAGUAACACGUGGAUAACUUACCUAUAAGACUGGGAUAACUUCGGGAAACCGGAGCUAAUACCGGAUAAUAUAUUGAACCGCAUGGUUCAAUAGUGAAAGACGGUUUUGCUGUCACUUAUAGAUGGAUCCGCGCCGCAUUAGCUAGUUGGUAAGGUAACGGCUUACCAAGGCAACGAUGCGUAGCCGACCUGAGAGGGUGAUCGGCCACACUGGAACUGAGACACGGUCCAAACUCCUACGGGAGGCAGCAGAC